CAGCCGCCACGGGAAUACGUAGGGUGCGAGCGUUAAUCGGAAUUACUGGGCGUAAAGCGUGCGCAGGCGGUUUUGUAAGACAGGCGUGAAAUCCCCGGGCUCAACCUGGGAAUGGCGCUUGUGACUGCAAAGCUAGAGUGCGGCAGAGGGGGAUGGAAUUCCGCGUGUAGCAGUGAAAUGAGUAGAUAUGCGGAGGAACACCGAUGGCGAAGGCAAUCCCCUGGGCCUGCACUGACGCUCGUGCACGAAAGCGUGGGGAGCAAACAGGAUUAGAUACCCCCGUAGUCCCUGUCUCUUAUAC
RNAcentral lists this ribosomal RNA (301 nucleotides) under uncultured bacterium. RNAcentral describes it as "partial 16S ribosomal RNA". It matches the Rfam family "Bacterial small subunit ribosomal RNA", at positions 509 to 807 of the family's 1533-position model. The record is from RNAcentral.